GACGAACGCUGGCGGCGUGCUUAACACAUGCAAGUCGAACGAAGAGCGAUGGAAGCUUGCUUCUAUCAAUCUUAGUGGCGAACGGGUGAGUAACGCGUAAUCAACCUGCCCUUCAGAGGGGGACAACAGUUGGAAACGACUGCUAAUACCGCAUACGAUCCAAUCUCGGCAUCGGGACUGGAUGAAAGGUGGCCUCUAUUUAUAAGCUAUCACUGAAGGAGGGGAUUGCGUCUGAUUAGCUAGUUGGAGGGGUAACGGCCCACCAAGGCGAUGAUCAGUAGCCGGUCUGAGAGGAUGAACGGCCACAGUGGGACUGAGACACGGCCCAGACGCCUACGGGAGGCAGCAGUGGGGAAUCUUCCGCAAUGGACGAAAGUCUGACGGAGCAACGCCGCGUGAGUGAUGACGGCCGUCGGGUUGUAAAGCUCGGUUAAUCGGGACGAAUGGUUCUUGUGCGAAUAGGGCGAGGAUUUGACGGUACCGGAAUAGAAAGCCACGGCUAACUACGUG
Molecule: ribosomal RNA, 510 nt
Filed under: uncultured bacterium
Lineage: Bacteria
Description: partial 16S ribosomal RNA
Rfam family: Bacterial small subunit ribosomal RNA
Source: RNAcentral